UCAAACUUGGUCAUUUAGAGGAAGUACAAGUCGUAACAAGGUAUCCGUAGGUGAACCUGCGGAUGGAUCAUUACCAAAGGAUUUACUUCCACGUACUGUGAACUGUUUUGACUAACAGUCAGCGGCUGUUUGUCUUUCAGGCGGAUUCUUCCCCUGACAGGACGCGUCGCUGACUGACUACUAAACGCACUGUUACUUUUAGACUGAACUUCUUUAGUAAUGAACUAAAGACAACUUUUAGCAAUGGAUCUCUUGGUUCUCGCAUCGAUGAAGAACGCAGC
Molecule: unclassified non-coding RNA, 281 nt
Filed under: uncultured fungus
Lineage: Eukaryota; Fungi
Description: partial contains small subunit ribosomal RNA, internal transcribed spacer 1, and 5.8S ribosomal RNA
Rfam family: Eukaryotic small subunit ribosomal RNA (bases 1-73)
Source: RNAcentral